UGUGUCGAUAAAAUGACAACACAUGGUGACAAAUGGCGUCAUUAGAGCUUUAUAAAAGACCCAUGAAUUUUCUCAUAUUCCAUAUUAUCGCAGAGUUCACUUCAUAUAACAGAGUACACCCCAGAGGAGUGAUAUCUGAGAACACAAGGAAGGGUUUUGAUGCUAUAAAGGAUAUGGCUAAUGCACUUUGUGUUCUCAGGUCACCCCUUUGGGGAUUCCUGUUUACAUGGCAUGCACGACAACUUUAUGAGAGAAUGACCAAGAAAACCAAAAUCACGGAAAGUCCAUUUUAAUUUUUAACAUUCAAUUCCACUUCAUAGAGCAGAGUGUGCCCCAGAGGGGUGACCCCUGAGAAUACUUUUUGUGGGUUGGGGCUAUUCUACUUCUAAAGUGUUCUCAGCCUUGCAGGAAAAAUGCAGUCAGUAUUGUCUCUUUCCGUUGGUUGGAAGUUGGAGCACGAACUCGUCAACCAAAGGUCCACAAAUAUAAAUAUAGGAGCCGCCUGAUAUAUAUUGCAGAAGACGUGCCGUCGACGAGCCAACAAAACCAUCCUCGUUAUUGGCGAUAUCUCUACUUUGGAUUCUGCUUCUUGAUGUAUCGUUCGGUGUGGGACUAAACGGUCAUAGAAUUAUAAAAUACAAAUUUUUUUUUUUGAUAAUUAAUAUUAGAUUCUUCCAUC
This is a long non-coding RNA of Juglans microcarpa x Juglans regia, 679 nucleotides long. RefSeq lists it as uncharacterized. The record is from RefSeq and is a predicted model, not a curated record. The transcript is spliced from 2 exons. NCBI's taxonomy places the organism in Eukaryota, Viridiplantae, Streptophyta, Magnoliopsida, Fagales, Juglandaceae.